GACGAACGCUGGCGGCGUGCUUAACACAUGCAAGUCGAACGGUGAACGAGGGAGCUUGCUCCCUCCGGGUCAGUGGCGAACGGGUGAGUAACACGUGAGCAAUCUGCCCCGCACUCUGGGAUAAGCGUUGGAAACGACGUCAAAUCCCGGAUGCGCCGCGGGAGGGCAUCCUCUCCGCGUGGAAAGAACUUCGGUUCGGGAUGGGCUCGCGGCCUAUCAGCUUGUUGGUGGGGUAGCGGCUUACCAAGGCGACGACGGGUAGCCGGCCUGAGAGGGUGACCGGCCACACUGGGACUGAGAUACGGCCCAGACUCCUACGGGAGGCAGCAGUGGGGAAUAUUGCACAAUGGGCGGAAGCCUGAUGCAGCAACGCCGCGUGCGGGACGACGGCCUUCGGGUUGUAAACCUCUUUUGGCUGUGAAGAAGCGAGAGUGACGGUACCUGCAGAAAAAGCACCGGCUAACUACGUG
Molecule: ribosomal RNA, 470 nt
Filed under: uncultured bacterium
Lineage: Bacteria
Description: partial 16S ribosomal RNA
Rfam family: Bacterial small subunit ribosomal RNA
Source: RNAcentral